CUGAGUGUGCAGGGAGUUGAGUGUGCAGGGAGCUGAGUGUGCAGGGAGCCGUGAGUGUUCAAGGGUCCCAGAAUGCCCUUGGACCCCUGGGGCCACAGAGUGCCCCGCUUAGAGGGUCCAGUCCCCAGCUGUGAGUAUGGAAGAACCAACGCGCAGAAAACGUGGCAGAUCUAGGACUCGGGGCAGGGGCAUCAGGGGUGUCAGUGCGGACACCUGUGCCCGUGGUCGGCUGAGAUGGGAUCUGAGUGACAGCUGUGUCCUGCGGCUGCCGUUCAUGGCAACCCACAGGCUGCGGACGGCUGUGGGUGUGCAGGUUUUGUGUCUCCUGUGGGGAAAGGGCCCAGCCCAGGCCAAGCCCUCUCACCGAACACAGAAUAAGUCUCUGCUGUCCAAGCCCUCGACACACUCAUGUGAGGGGGGUCUGCUGUACAAGAAAGGAGGAAGCGUGUGUGUGUGUGCCCCCUAGACACGGUUCACUGUCUCGCCCUCCUUCUACAAACAGCCUGAAGGGUGGCCUGACACACCCUUGGCAGCUCGGUCGUCCACUGGCCCCUCAGCUGCUCGUGGCCUUAUACCUGCCGUGCAUUUCACACACCUAGAGGUCACACACCUUCACUGCCACGAGAUACCCACGCAAAGUGCCCACUGCACGCGUGGGCCUUCUCUCUCCUGCUCUGGGCAGCCCUCCUCCCCUGGCUAGUCACGAUUUGGCUCUGUCUCCUGGAGGCGGGAGCCUGGGGUCGAGAAGCCAGGCCCUUCUCAGGUCACUUAGGCCAGGACCUGAAACCCGUCCAAUGCCCUCCCCAUGCCCGACGGGCACCCUGAUCCCCACUAGAGGGGGCAGCUACCCUCAGACUCCCCAGGGGUUCACGGAGCCCUGAGGCCUGCCGGGGCCUGUCCUCACUGCCAUGCUUCCUCCAUCCCGCCAGGGGUGUUCCAGUGUCUCCGAGUGAAGGGCCAGGACCUCAUGCAUCUCAACAUAAACGAGUUCAUCGGCUUGGCCGUCAGCAUCUGAGGCUGCGCGGAUGAGGCGCUGUCUGCCCCCUGACACCCGGCGUCUGGACGCGAACCUCGGCAUUCUUGCCGGAGAGCCAUCCUGCCCGCUGCCCUCUCCCAGCCUCACACCGCCUCCUCCCCUUCCCGCCAUGACCCGGAAGAAUCCAGAAUCUGGCUGUGCUCUCUGGUUCUGCGAUCAUUCUUCACCAGAACCAACAGUGCCGCCUGUGUCUGUGCCCACGCCUGCUGUCCCCAGACAACCCUCCUCCCACUGUCCCUGCCUCCACCAAGAUCAUUCGAUGCUCUCGUUCCCCGAAUCUUGCCUCAGUGUGCUCCAGCCAUGCUAUCAAGACACACGCAAAAAUAAAUAAAUAAAUAGUUUUAAAAAAA
Psammomys obesus (fat sand rat) is the source of this 1386-nucleotide long non-coding RNA. RefSeq lists it as uncharacterized. NCBI's taxonomy places the organism in Eukaryota, Metazoa, Chordata, Mammalia, Rodentia, Muridae. The record is from RefSeq and is a predicted model, not a curated record. The transcript has 2 exons.